This 445-nucleotide ribosomal RNA is filed under the name uncultured bacterium. RNAcentral's name for it is "bacterial SSU rRNA". It matches the Rfam family "Bacterial small subunit ribosomal RNA", at positions 29 to 519 of the family's 1533-position model. The record is from RNAcentral.
AACGAACGCUGGCGGCAUGCCUAACACAUGCAAGUCGAACGAAGCCUUCGGGCUUAGUGGCGCACGGGUGCGUAACGCGUGGGAAUCUGCCCUUGGGUUCGGAAUAACAGUUAGAAAUGACUGCUAAUACCGAAUGAUGUCUUCGGACCAAAGAUUUAUCGCCCAAGGAUGAGCCCGCGUCGGAUUAGCUAGUUGGUGAGGUAAAGGCUCACCAAGGCGACGAUCCGUAGCUGGUCUGAGAGGAUGAUCAGCCACACUGGGACUGAGACACGGCCCAGACUCCUACGGGAGGCAGCAGUGGGGAAUAUUGGACAAUGGGCGAAAGCCUGAUCCAGCAAUGCCGCGUGAGUGAUGAAGGCCUUAGGGUUGUAAAGCUCUUUUACCCGGGAUGAUAAUGACAGUACCGGGAGAAUAAGCCCCGGCUAACUCCGUGCCAGCAGCCGCG